CCGCAAGGUUAAAACUCAAAUGAAUUGACGGGGGGCCCGCACAAGCGGUGGAGCAUGUGGUUUAAUUCGAUGCAACGCGAAGAACCUUACCUACUCUUGACAUCCAGAGAACUUAGCAGAGAUGCUUUGGUGCCUUCGGGAACUCUGAGACAGGUGCUGCAUGGCUGUCGUCAGCUCGUGUUGUGAAAUGUUGGGUUAAGUCCCGCAACGAGCGCAACCCUUAUCCUUUGUUGCCAGCGGUCCGGCCGGGAACUCAAAGGAGACUGCCAGUGAUAAACUGGAGGAAGGUGGGGAUGACGUCAAGUCAUCAUGGCCCUUACGAGUAGGGCUACACACGUGCUACAAUGGCGCAUACAAAGAGAAGCGACCUCGCGAGAGCAAGCGGACCUCAUAAAGUGCGUCGUAGUCCGGAUUGGAGUCUGCAACUCGACUCCAUGAAGUCGGAAUCGCUAGUAAUCGUGGAUCAGAAUGCCACGGUGAAUACGUUCCCGGGCCUUGUACACACCGCCCGUCACACCAUGGGAGUGGGUUGCAAAAGAAGUAGGUAGCUUAACCUCGGGAGGGCGCUUACCACUUU
This 577-nucleotide ribosomal RNA is filed under the name Enterobacter cloacae. Its description in RNAcentral is "bacterial SSU rRNA". It matches the Rfam family "Bacterial small subunit ribosomal RNA", at positions 886 to 1463 of the family's 1533-position model. Lineage: Bacteria; Pseudomonadati; Pseudomonadota; Gammaproteobacteria; Enterobacterales; Enterobacteriaceae. The record is from RNAcentral.